AUUGAACGCUGGCGGCAGGCCUAACACAUGCUAGUCGAACGAGUGGCGGACGGGUGAGUAAUGUCUGGGAAACUGCCCGAUGGAGGGGGAUAACUACUGGAAACGGGCGCUAAUACCGCAUACUAUCAGAUGAGCCUAGGUCGGAUUAGCUAGUUGGUGGGGGAAAGUCCUACCAAGGCGACGAUCCGUAUCUGGUCUGAGAGGAUGAUCAGUCACACUGGAACUGUGUCACGGUCCAGACUCCUACGGGAGGCAGCAGUGGGGAAUAUUGGACAAUGGGCGAAAGCCUGAUCCAGCCAUGCCUCGUGUGUGAAGAAGGUCUUCGGAUUGUAAAGUACUUUCAGCGGGGAGGCGUUACCCGCAGAAGAAGCACCGGCUAACUCCGUGCCAGCAGCCGCGGUAAUAC
This 406-nucleotide ribosomal RNA is filed under the name uncultured bacterium. RNAcentral's name for it is "partial 16S ribosomal RNA". It matches the Rfam family "Bacterial small subunit ribosomal RNA", at positions 30 to 526 of the family's 1533-position model. The record is from RNAcentral.